RNA transcript from Schistocerca americana (American grasshopper), 1013 nucleotides. RefSeq lists it as uncharacterized. Lineage: Eukaryota; Metazoa; Arthropoda; Insecta; Orthoptera; Acrididae. The record is from RefSeq and is a predicted model, not a curated record. The transcript has 4 exons.
UGCUUCAUAAAUUUCUUGAAGUAAAGUUACUUCUCUACUUUAUAAAUCACCAAUACAGUGGAACUGGUGGGUGGUUAAAACAUUUUACUGGUAACAAGGAGACAAAUCGAUAAUGUCAAUUUUCUGUGAAAGACACAUUGUUACCGCUACAUAGCGUAGAUCUUUGUGUGCAAUUUCAACUUCAUUGGUGCGUUUAAGUUUAAAUAUUUUGAGGGCGCCAAACGUGAAACUCACUAUUUGAAAGCGGUGUAGUGAGUGAAAGUAGGUGUUUUAAUAACCUUGCUAUAGGUCAGUCAUGGAAACUGGAGCUUUACUAGUUUAUCAGUGCAGAGUUUGCAAAUAUAUAGUAAGUGACAGUAGUUACCUUGUUCCUGGAAAUGAGGAACUCAUCCUCGUCUCACUUUCAGGCACAGCAGAUUGAAUGGCUGCUGCUCAGUAUCCAAAAGAUGGCUCGGUUACUAUUGCAACAAUCAGCACCGGCAACCAGAUGCCACAUCAAAGUUUCACCCUCUCAGUAGUAAUAAAGAUGUGACAGUAACACUUGGCCCUGAAUUUGAUCUGCCUGACCAGCCCUUUAGCAAGAUAAAUGUUUUACUGUGUGAUUGUAAGGCUAUACUUGGAGUUUAUUGGAAAAUUCCUCCCCCUGAUAAACCACAGUUUACAAAAAAAUACUUACUAAAUGGAGACAAACUACUCAGGUAUGCUUCUAGAAAGGGAUUUAUCGAAGCGCUAAAACUGGAUGAAGAGAUUAAAAAUCUCAGUGACAAAGUAUCAAAUUUAAACGACCAAGUUAUGUUGUCACUUUGGGACAUUGUGAGAAUAAAAGAGGUAUUGUGUCUUGUUGCAAAUGAUCCUGAACUGAUGAACUUGCUCAAGUUAGAUACCCCUUGGACAAAUACAUCCUGUGAUGUGGACGAUUUAUAAGAAUUGUUUGUAGACGUACCUUGUUUUAUGUGACUGAUGUUUUUACCUGUAUAAUUUGUUUUAUUUUAAAUUAUAUUUACUGAAAUGUG